This 450-nucleotide ribosomal RNA is filed under the name uncultured bacterium. RNAcentral's name for it is "partial 16S ribosomal RNA". It matches the Rfam family "Bacterial small subunit ribosomal RNA", at positions 354 to 796 of the family's 1533-position model. The record is from RNAcentral.
GUGGGGAAUAUUGGACAAUGGGCGAAAGCCUGAUCCAGCCAUGCCGCGUGUGUGAAGAAGGUCUUCGGAUUGUAAAGCACUUUAAGUUGGGAGGAAGGGCAGUAAGUUAAUACCUUGCUGUUUUGACGUUACCGACAGAAUAAGCACCGACUAACUUCGUGCCAGCAGCCGCGGUAAUACGAAGGGUGCAAGCGUUAAUCGGAAUUACUGGGCGUAAAGCGCGCGUAGGUGGUUUUGUAAGUUGGAGGUGAAAUCCCCGGGCUCAACCUGGGAACUGCCUCCAAAACUGCAUGACUAGAGUACGGUAGAGGGUAGUGGAAUUUCCUGUGUAGCGGUGAAAUGCGUAGAUAUAGGAAGGAACACCAGUGGCGAAGGCGACUACCUGGACUGAUACUGACACUGAGGUGCGAAAGCGUGGGGAGCAAACAGGAUUAGAAACCCUGGUAGUCC